This 983-nucleotide ribosomal RNA is filed under the name uncultured Thiobacillus sp. RNAcentral describes it as "bacterial SSU rRNA". It matches the Rfam family "Bacterial small subunit ribosomal RNA", at positions 69 to 1071 of the family's 1533-position model. Lineage: Bacteria; Pseudomonadati; Pseudomonadota; Betaproteobacteria; Nitrosomonadales; Thiobacillaceae. The record is from RNAcentral.
AGCACGGGAGCUUGCUCCCUGGUGGCUAGUGGCGAACGGGUGAGUAAUGCGUCGGAACGUGCCGAGUAAUGGGGGAUAACGCAGCGAAAGUUGUGCUAAUACCGCAUACGCCCUGAGGGGGAAAGUGGGGGAUCGCAAGACCUCACGUUAUUCGAGCGGCCGACGUCUGAUUAGCUAGUUGGUGGGGUAAAGGCCUACCAAGGCGACGAUCAGUAGCGGGUCUGAGAGGAUGAUCCGCCACACUGGGACUGAGACACGGCCCAGACUCCUACGGGAGGCAGCAGUGGGGAAUUUUGGACAAUGGGGGCAACCCUGAUCCAGCCAUUCCGCGUGAGUGAAGAAGGCCUUCGGGUUGUAAAGCUCUUUCAGCUGGAGUGAAACGGUGCGCUCUAACAUAGCGCGCUAAUGACGGUACCAGCAGAAGAAGCACCGGCUAACUACGUGCCAGCAGCCGCGGUAAUACGUAGGGUGCGAGCGUUAAUCGGAAUUACUGGGCGUAAAGCGUGCGCAGGCGGAUUGUUAAGCAAGAUGUGAACUCCCCGGGCUUAACCUGGGAAUGGCAUUUUGAACUGGCAGUCUAGAGUGCGUCAGAGGGGGGUGGAAUUCCACGUGUAGCAGUGAAAUGCGUAGAGAUGUGGAGGAACACCGAUGGCGAAGGCAGCCCCCUGGGAUGACACUGACGCUCAUGUACGAAAGCGUGGGUAGCAAACAGGAUUAGAUACCCUGGUAGUCCACGCCCUAAACGAUGUCAACUGGUUGUUGGGGGAGUGAAAUCCCUUAGUAACGAAGCUAACGCGUGAAGUUGACCGCCUGGGGAGUACGGUCGCAAGAUUAAAACUCAAAGGAAUUGACGGGGACCCGCACAAGCGGUGGAUGAUGUGGAUAAUUCGAUCCACGCGAAAACCUUCCUACCUGACAGUCCAGAACCUGNAGGAUUUGGGUGCUACCCGGAGUGNNACACGNNCGCUUGAGCGUGCCUUCCG